UAAUGGAUUCAUAGAGUGAUGCCCGUGACA
RNAcentral lists this non-coding RNA (30 nucleotides) under Mus musculus (house mouse). The record is from RNAcentral. Lineage: Eukaryota; Metazoa; Chordata; Mammalia; Rodentia; Muridae.